This 577-nucleotide ribosomal RNA is filed under the name Streptomyces sp. RNAcentral describes it as "bacterial SSU rRNA". It matches the Rfam family "Bacterial small subunit ribosomal RNA", at positions 247 to 836 of the family's 1533-position model. The record is from RNAcentral. Lineage: Bacteria; Bacillati; Actinomycetota; Actinomycetes; Kitasatosporales; Streptomycetaceae.
UGUUGGUGGGGUGAUGGCCUACCAAGGCGACGACGGGUAGCCGGCCUGAGAGGGCGACCGGCCACACUGGGACUGAGACACGGCCCAGACUCCUACGGGAGGCAGCAGUGGGGAAUAUUGCACAAUGGGCGAAAGCCUGAUGCAGCGACGCCGCGUGAGGGAUGACGGCCUUCGGGUUGUAAACCUCUUUCAGCAGGGAAGAAGCGCAAGUGACGGUACCUGCAGAAGAAGCGCCGGCUAACUACGUGCCAGCAGCCGCGGUAAUACGUAGGGCGCAAGCGUUGUCCGGAAUUAUUGGGCGUAAAGAGCUCGUAGGCGGCUUGUUGCGUCGGAUGUGAAAGCCCGGGGCUUAACCCCGGGUCUGCAUUCGAUACGGGCAGGCUAGAGUUCGGUAGGGGAGAUCGGAAUUCCUGGUGUAGCGGUGAAAUGCGCAGAUAUCAGGAGGAACACCGGUGGCGAAGGCGGAUCUCUGGGCCGAUACUGACGCUGAGGAGCGAAAGCGUGGGGAGCGAACAGGAUUAGAUACCCUGGUAGUCCACGCCGUAAACGUUGGGAACUAGGUGUGGGCGACAUCCAC